This is a long non-coding RNA of Oncorhynchus masou masou (cherry salmon), 404 nucleotides long. RefSeq lists it as uncharacterized. The transcript is spliced from 3 exons. The record is from RefSeq and is a predicted model, not a curated record. NCBI's taxonomy places the organism in Eukaryota, Metazoa, Chordata, Actinopteri, Salmoniformes, Salmonidae.
UGUGCUGUAUUGAAUCCUCAUACUAAAGGACAUGAAACAUCACGACUUCAGCAGGAGGCUACUGGUGCUCUCUGUCCUUUCAACUAUCUUUGAUUCUCUUAAUGCGGUCGAAGUCUGUUCCAACACUAUUCUGCCAGGAUCUAAAGGAGACCUGGGUGAAGGGGGAGGCGAGGGAGACCAAGGACGGCUGGGAAAGACCGGCCCACCAGGACUACUAGGUCUGACAGGGGAGCUCGGAGAUAAAGGAGAGCAGGGCCGGACGGGGAAGUUGGGUCCUGCUGGAGACAAAGGUAAUCAUUUAGUAAUCAGACUGAGAAAUAUUCUGCUUACGGAGAAGAAAACUGUUCUGGCUGCAUCUCAGGCCAAUGAUACAGAGGCCGUGGCUCUACUGGCACCCUAUUCAG